This 497-nucleotide ribosomal RNA is filed under the name uncultured bacterium. RNAcentral describes it as "partial 16S ribosomal RNA". It matches the Rfam family "Bacterial small subunit ribosomal RNA", at positions 28 to 507 of the family's 1533-position model. The record is from RNAcentral.
GAUGAACGCUGGCGGCGUGCCUAAUACAUGCAAGUCGAGCGAACAGAUAAGGGGCUUGCUCCUUUGACGUUAGCGGCGGACGGGUGAGUAACACGUGGGUAACCUACCUAUAAGACUGGGAUAACUUCGGGAAACCGGAGCUAAUACCGGAUAAUAUUUCGAACCGCAUGGUUCGAUAGUGAAAGAUGGUUUUGCUAUCACUUAUAGAUGGACCCGCGCCGUAUUAGCUAGUUGGUAAGGUAACGGCUUACCAAGGCGACGAUACGUAGCCGACCUGAGAGGGUGAUCGGCCACACUGGAACUGAGACACGGUCCAGACUCCUACGGGAGGCAGCAGUAGGGAAUCUUCCGCAAUGGGCGAAAGCCUGACGGAGCAACGCCGCGUGAGUGAUGAAGGUCUUCGGAUCGUAAAACUCUGUUAUUAGGGAAGAACAUACGUGUAAGUAACUGUGCACGUCUUGACGGUACCUAAUCAGAAAGCCACGGCUAACUACGUG